This is a long non-coding RNA of Perca fluviatilis (European perch), 154 nucleotides long. RefSeq lists it as uncharacterized. The record is from RefSeq and is a predicted model, not a curated record. The transcript is spliced from 2 exons. Lineage: Eukaryota; Metazoa; Chordata; Actinopteri; Perciformes; Percidae.
AGAGAAACUCGAAGUUUAUUGAAGAAAACCUGCUCCCGACCAGUUUGUAAUUGGUUAGCGCUGAUAACCAGAAGCAUAAGAGGUUAUUGGAUUCAGGAGGCAAUGCAAGCUCCUAAAUACUUCCAUGUUCACAUGAGGACUAUUACUCACCCAG